This 1527-nucleotide ribosomal RNA is filed under the name Vibrio splendidus. RNAcentral describes it as "partial 23S ribosomal RNA". It matches the Rfam family "Bacterial large subunit ribosomal RNA", at positions 1421 to 2925 of the family's 2925-position model. Lineage: Bacteria; Pseudomonadati; Pseudomonadota; Gammaproteobacteria; Vibrionales; Vibrionaceae. The record is from RNAcentral.
GGAAACGGGUUAAUAUUCCCGUACUUCUUACAAUUGCGAUGGGGGGACGGAGAAGGCUAGGUGGGCCUGGCGACGGUUGUCCAGGUUCAAGUAUGUAGGCGGAAAGUUUAGGUAAAUCCGGACUUUCUUAACGCUGAGAUACGAUGUCGAGCUACUACGGUAGUGAAGUCAUUGAUGCCAUGCUUCCAGGAAAAGCCUCUAAGCUUCAGAUUGUAAGGAAUCGUACCCCAAACCGACACAGGUGGUCGGGUAGAGAAUACCAAGGCGCUUGAGAGAACUCGGGUGAAGGAACUAGGCAAAAUGGUACCGUAACUUCGGGAGAAGGUACGCUCUUAUCAGUGAAGUCCCUUGCGGAUGGAGCAGACGAGAGUCGCAGAUACCAGGUGGCUGCAACUGUUUAUUAAAAACACAGCACUGUGCAAAAUCGUAAGAUGACGUAUACGGUGUGACGCCUGCCCGGUGCCGGAAGGUUAAUUGAUGGGGUUAGACUUCGGUCGAAGCUCUUGAUCGAAGCCCCGGUAAACGGCGGCCGUAACUAUAACGGUCCUAAGGUAGCGAAAUUCCUUGUCGGGUAAGUUCCGACCUGCACGAAUGGCGUAAUGAUGGCCACGCUGUCUCCACCCGAGACUCAGUGAAAUUGAAAUCGCUGUGAAGAUGCAGUGUACCCGCGGCUAGACGGAAAGACCCCGUGAACCUUUACUACAGCUUGGCACUGAACAUUGAACCUACAUGUGUAGGAUAGGUGGGAGACUAUGAAAUUGCGUCGCUAGAUGUGAUGGAGUCGUCCUUGAAAUACCACCCUUGUAGUUUUGAUGUUCUAACGUUGGUCCCUGAAUCGGGAUUACGGACAGUGCCUGGUGGGUAGUUUGACUGGGGCGGUCUCCUCCCAAAGAGUAACGGAGGAGCACGAAGGUGGGCUAAACACGGUUGGACAUCGUGUGGUUAGUGCAAUGGCAUAAGCCCGCUUGACUGCGAGAAUGACAAUUCGAGCAGGUGCGAAAGCAGGUCAUAGUGAUCCGGUGGUUCUGAAUGGAAGGGCCAUCGCUCAACGGAUAAAAGGUACUCCGGGGAUAACAGGCUGAUACCGCCCAAGAGUUCAUAUCGACGGCGGUGUUUGGCACCUCGAUGUCGGCUCAUCACAUCCUGGGGCUGAAGUCGGUCCCAAGGGUAUGGCUGUUCGCCAUUUAAAGUGGUACGCGAGCUGGGUUUAGAACGUCGUGAGACAGUUCGGUCCCUAUCUGCCGUGGGCGUUGGAAAAUUGAAAGGGGCUGCUCCUAGUACGAGAGGACCGGAGUGGACGAACCUCUGGUGUUCGGGUUGUCAUGCCAAUGGCAUUGCCCGGUAGCUAAGUUCGGAAUCGAUAACCGCUGAAAGCAUCUAAGCGGGAAGCGAGCCUUGAGAUGAGUUUUCCCUGGCACUAUAAGUGUCCUAAAGGGUUGUCGUAGACUACGACGUUGAUAGGCAGGGUGUGUAAGUGCUGCGAGGCAUUGAGCUAACCUGUACUAAUUGCCCGUGAGGCUUAACCAU